Molecule: small RNA, 819 nt
Filed under: Histoplasma capsulatum
Lineage: Eukaryota; Fungi; Ascomycota; Eurotiomycetes; Onygenales; Ajellomycetaceae
Also listed under: 1 other name
Description: hypothetical RNA
Source: RNAcentral
GAGAAUAAACUGUUGGAGGGGUUGGAUUGGGUGAUUCGUCCCCUUUUAUACCACCACGGCGCUGGUGGUGAAUGAGCUCUUUUGCCCCAGUGGCGGUUUACGCAUAAGACUUGGCAACACCCAUAAAUGACAUUCUCUACGGAUUUGACAUGAAAUAACGUUUUAUUGACGUUGUCGAAUGAUGAAUUGCCAUAACUUUGACCGGGGACCCCGUUGGAUAACGCUUGAUGGUUCUCAUAACUACUAUCCAACUCUAUAAGCCAGUCGGAUCCGUUCUUGUACGGAUGUAUUGUUAGUUGUUAUUAUUUUUCGUUGUUCUUCUGUGAAUAUUUCCCUUGGCCUCUGGAUGUAAGUAGGGUCUCUUUCCCGGUUGGCGGGAGUUCCUGGCUCCGAUUUGGCCUCCGGGCUGGAAGAUGUAUACACAAUCCCUCUGCCCUUAGCACCGGUUCGCAUAUCAGGGCCGAUGGUCCUCCUGGAUUGGGUAUCGUUCGGAGAAUUCUCUCCAUCGCUCUCCAAGUCCACGACGAUCGGUUGCUCUGCUGAAGGCGGUUAAAAGGCAGAGCUCUGGAUACCAUCCCAUCAGAGACGAGAACCGGUAUUGCCCAGAAUGCAAUUCCCCAAGUGAUGAAAUCUGUGAUAUGUGUUGUCAGGUUAUCACUGGUGUUAUCAAGAGCUACUAGAUAGAAACUUACUUCUCUUUUCUUUUCCUCUUCUUUAUACUUGUAUGUAAUGCACUUGCCUGUUCACUGAAAUUGCUAUCACUUGAUCUGUUACAAGUUGGAUCAUUCUUCGCUCUUUGAUUUAGAAUAAUCGCUUUUG